RNAcentral lists this unclassified non-coding RNA (374 nucleotides) under uncultured Pseudobdellovibrionaceae bacterium. RNAcentral's name for it is "uncultured Bdellovibrionaceae bacterium contains 16S-23S intergenic spacer region". Lineage: Bacteria; Pseudomonadati; Bdellovibrionota; Bdellovibrionia; Bdellovibrionales; Pseudobdellovibrionaceae. The record is from RNAcentral.
UCCGGUUUAACACCGGCAGUCCCUUUAGAGUGCCCAACUAAAUGCUGGCAACUAAAGGCAAGGGUUGCGCUCGUUGCGGGACUUAACCCAACAUCUCACGACACGAGCUGACGACAGCCAUGCAGCACCUGUCUAGCGGCCCGAAGGCUGCGAUAUCUCUACCGCAUUCCACUAGAUGUCAAACCCAGGUAAGGUUCUUCGCGUUGCAUCGAAUUGAACCACAUGCUCCACCGCUUGUGCGGGCCCCCGUCAAUUUCUUUGAGUUUUAAUCUUGCGACCGUACUUCCCAGGCGGGAUACUUACCGCGUUAGCUGCGACACUGAAGGGGUCAAUACCUCCAACAUCAAGUAUCCAUCGUUUACGGCGUGGACUAC